CAUGCAGGCGGUCGGGCGCGUUUGCUGUGACAGCGCAUGGCUUAACUAUGCGAGCAUAGGAAAGACGGCCUGACUUGAGGGCUCGAGAGGGACACGGAAUUCCGGGUGGAGUGGUGAAAUGCGUAGAGAUCCGGAGGAACACCGAAGGCGAAGGCAGUGUCCUGGCGAGUAUUCCUGACGCUGAGGUGCGAAAGCCAGGGGAGCGAACG
Molecule: ribosomal RNA, 209 nt
Filed under: uncultured bacterium
Lineage: Bacteria
Description: partial 16S ribosomal RNA
Rfam family: Bacterial small subunit ribosomal RNA
Source: RNAcentral